AGAGAUGUAACCCAGUUGGUAGGGUGCCUGUCUAUCAUACAUGAUGCCCUGGGUUCAAUUCACAGCACUA
RNAcentral lists this transfer RNA (70 nucleotides) under Cricetulus griseus (Chinese hamster). It matches the Rfam family "tRNA". From Rfam's summary of the family: Transfer RNA (tRNA) molecules are approximately 80 nucleotides in length. Their secondary structure includes four short double-helical elements and three loops (D, anti-codon, and T loops). Further hydrogen bonds mediate the characteristic L-shaped molecular structure. tRNAs have two regions of fundamental functional importance: the anti-codon, which is responsible for specific mRNA codon recognition, and the 3' end, to which the tRNAs corresponding amino acid is attached (by aminoacyl-tRNA synthetases). tRNAs cope with the degeneracy of the genetic code in two manners: having more than one tRNA (with a specific anti-codon) for a particular amino acid; and 'wobble' base-pairing, i.e. permitting non-standard base-pairing at the 3rd anti-codon position. The record is from Rfam by way of RNAcentral. Lineage: Eukaryota; Metazoa; Chordata; Mammalia; Rodentia; Cricetidae.